This is a long non-coding RNA of Nymphaea colorata (pocket water lily), 2241 nucleotides long. RefSeq lists it as uncharacterized. The transcript has 2 exons. The record is from RefSeq and is a predicted model, not a curated record. Lineage: Eukaryota; Viridiplantae; Streptophyta; Magnoliopsida; Nymphaeales; Nymphaeaceae.
UGGAGUGAUUUGCAACAGUUCAUAUCGGUGAAAUUCAUUACCACACUACAACAAAUGCGUGUCUCCGACGACCCAUACUUAGUGCAAGAGUCGUAGCGGAUAAUUCUCGCUCCAUACCAUCGACCCGUUUUUCUUUUAACUCACGAACCCGAUUUCUCAAAUUUACGCGCGAGCCCAUUUAUCCGUUCUCCUGUGGUGAAUUAGGGGAAGCUUCCUUAACGAAGUCUGCAGCGUUGUAGGCUCUGUCCGAUCGGAAGAUGCUGACAAAUGGAUUACUGAUCGAAGUGGAGAAUCGCCAAAUUGAAGCAUUUUUUGUGGUUGAUCAAAAAUAUGGCAAAGAUAUAGGACGUUCAUGCGUCAUGCGGAAAGAUUGAGCUCUUGCUUUUGGCGUUCCUUUGAGCUGUUCUCGCUGGUCAGAAACUGGAUCAGGUUUAGCUUUGAUUUUUGGAAGGUCGAUGAAUUGUGAGGGGAAUUAGGUCGUUAGUGCAGCUAUUCGGGUGAACGGAGAAGGAACUUACCUCACCUUCAACGAGAUCACUAGAGAGGGUUUCCAAUCAGUUAAACUGUAGCUCUUUUUCUUUCUGUAGUAGAAGCCAUUUGAGCAAUUUCUUUUAAUGAAUAGGAUUUUAAGUCACUUUCAGGUACCAUUUUCUGUUGCAAGGGUUUCUAUCUUGACUGCUCGUGAUAGCUUUGCUGCUUAUUGGUGCUGAUUUCUCUUGUGAGGUAUUCUUCAAAACCUCUUUCCUGGAAGCUAUUAGGGAAUGCACUAGUUUUUACAUAUCCAUUUAGCUUUUGUCUUCUCCCGUUCAAUUUUCUUUUCUAUGUUUUAUCAAUUAUUUUGUUGGUUGUUUGAUCGAGUGAAAAGUGCUAGUAAUUGGAUGUGUAUAGAAAAGACGCAUUGAUAGGUACCAAAAGGAAGGUGCCAAAUGUUGCAUAAUUUCCCCCCUAUUAAAUGUUGGGAUAUUAACAUCAUACCUGGUUGUCAAAAUGAUGAAAGGAAGUAUGGGUUUUUGAGGAAUUUGUUGUGCUGAAAUCACCAGAUGCAGUAUUCGAUCCAGCAACCGUAUUUGAACCACUAGAACUAGAAGCUGAGUUUGAUGCAGUUAUUGAACUGGCUCUGAUACCAUGUAAGGCCGAACACAUUGCAGUAGGAUUUCACCCACAGAAGCGCGGAGAGCUCAUUUAUACAGGGGAGAAACAGAGAGCAUGGAGAGCAAAAAACACUCAAUCAGUUUCAUUUCUCUGAGAAGGCUCAUUUAUACUCUUUACAGAAGACUCUGUUAAAAAGUGGUAACCAAUUCUGAUACGCAGCACCAUCUCUGAUCUCUUGAAUAUUCUGGAGUCGUCUAUGCACGUGCAGGAAAUAUCUUCAGCUUCAAGUUAACUUGAGGCAUAAGAGAUGUGUCCACCGUAGAGCAAGCACAAACUGAAGUUUAUCUGGGUGUAGAAACUCUGUGGCCAUUGUUACUGGAGCUUCCAGGGGAAUCAGUAAGGCAACGGCAUUGGCCCCAGAAAGAGUAGGCUGCAAGGUGUGUGGACUUUUUUAUGGUACACAGUCUUUCCCAAGAAGAGCUAUAGAAAUAAAUAUUACUAUAUUCUUUGUUAUAUGCAUUGUUUUGUUGUUCUAUGAUAUAUUGACAACAUUAGAACUUCAACUGGGGCAGUAGCGAUGCUCCUCCAUGAAAAGGAAGGUAAGCAUUAAGGUUGCAUACUAAAAAAUAUGUAUGCAAAUGUUGGGGAUGAAGUUUAAUCCCUUUCUCUCUAUAUUCCUCAGUUCUCCUGCAUCAUCGGAAAUGUGAAGGUUACUAAAAUUAUGAUAAAGGUGACUGAAGCUAGUAGAUAAUUCUUGUUUGGAAAUAGGGGUAACACAUAUCAUUACUAAGAAAGGUCUAGCUUCUUAUGAUGGCUUGUUGCUGGAGGGAUUCCAUCGUUUCCCAUGUCUCCACCAGCUCUAGGUGUUCAAUCUCUCCGCUGCCUCUCUUUCAGAUAUUCACGAGAUAUCAGCUUGGAGAUAUACCCGUGUCAAGUUGCCAGGAAUGUGUGGUUGAGAAAGGAAUGAGUCCCACUUGUUUCCAGACGUUGCAAGCGCGUGAUCAAGUAGCUAUAUUAUAUUGAUAUAUAAACUUUGACUUUUGUACAUGCUAGUGGUGGAAUGCGCCACAUGGGCUAUUCUAUUUAGAAAGAAGUCAAUAUUAUUGUGAUCAAACUAACUAUAGUGCCCUCUUAAUUUUACACGUUAUA